AUAAAGACCUGUGUUUCUGGCUUGCUCCAAAUGAGAUGUAAGUAGUGAAAAGCAAAGGAGAUCAAGAUGCUGCAGUCAAGAAGCUGGAAAAAUACCAAUCAAGGGCGUUGGCAUAGACAAAGGAGCGAGGGCCUCAGUCAAAUGCUGCUGUGAGGGAGAAUGAGACCAGGUGGAGCAGUGAGUACAGGGGUGCCAGGCUUCCUGGAAAGGGCAGCUUCGGUGGAUGUGCCAGAGCCUGACCCAGUUGGUGAGUAUGAAUGAGAAUGAAGAAAGGAAUUAGUGAUUAGCAGCACUCUUUUGAGAAGUAUUAUCGAGAAGAAAAGCAAAUAGAAGGGUACGGUAAGUACCUAGAAGAGGAUGUGAGAUCACAGGAUGCUUUUUUAAGUUGAGGUAUAAUUUACAUAAAUGUACAGAUCUUAAGUUUUGCUUUUCUUAAAAAAAAAAAAAAAAAGAGCAAAUGCAGGAGAGGAGAGAGGGCCUGAAAAGAAAGGGUGAUUAAGAUGUCCUGUAGUGAGGGAAACAACUUCAGGAUAGAGCAUCUUUUUUCUCUAGUACCCAGCAUGGCACCUGGCACCCAACAAGUGCAGAUCAAAGUGGAAGAGCAAGGCAAUGUAAAUUUCAGCAGUGCGGGGCUCUUCUCCUCCCUAGGAACUACUCAACCUCUGCCUUGAUACUGAAGAGCACAAAGCAGGAGAAAACUCUAUGUCUUUCCCAAAGGCAAUCUGUCUGUCUCUCUUCCCAGGAAGGUCAGUGCCUGCCAAUCACUCUACAGGAAAGGAUGUACCUUUGAAGAGGAACUUUCCGGACCCUCUUAAUUCUGCCAUUAGUGCAGCUCUUCCAGAGGUCCUGGGCCUAAUCCGGGCCAGCAGGAUGAGUUGGUCAUUGGAGGCUGGAGCCUGCAGGUGGCAGAGGCACUACGGAAGCUGUGUUGCAGUUUGUGGCUCUGGGGGUGGUGACUCCGGCUCCCUGGACACCCAGGAUGUAUCUUUUUGAAUUUGGAAACCUUCCUUAAACCUCCAGCCUCAGAAUCCAGCCUGAUAAUCCCCAACAAUCACAUGUAAGUG
Molecule: long non-coding RNA, 1064 nt
Filed under: Rhinopithecus bieti (black snub-nosed monkey)
Lineage: Eukaryota; Metazoa; Chordata; Mammalia; Primates; Cercopithecidae
Description: lncRNA (ENSRBIG00000045244.1)
Source: RNAcentral